AUUGAACGCUGGCGGCAGGCCUAACACAUGCAAGUCGAGCGGAGCGGCGGACAGGUGAGUAAUGCCUAGGAAUCUGCCUGGUAGCGGGGGAUAACGUUCGGAAACGGGCGCUAAUACCGCACACUAACAGAUGAGCCUAGGUCGGAUUAGCUCGUUGGAGUGGGAAGGGCCUACCAAAGCGACGAUCCGUAACUGGGCUGAGUGGAGGAUCAGUCCCACUGGAACGGAGACACGGUCCAGACUCCUACGGGAGGCAUCAGUGGGGAAUAUAGGACAAGGGACGAAAGCCUGACCCAGCCAUGCCGCGUGUGUGAAGAAGGUCUUCGGAUUGGAAAGCACUUUAAGUUGGGAGGCGUUACCAACAGAAUAAGCACCGGCUAACUUCGUGCCAGCCGCCGCGGUAAUAC
Molecule: ribosomal RNA, 407 nt
Filed under: uncultured bacterium
Lineage: Bacteria
Description: partial 16S ribosomal RNA
Rfam family: Bacterial small subunit ribosomal RNA
Source: RNAcentral